UGGGGAAUUUUGGACAAUGGGCGCAAGCCUGAUCCAGCCAUGCCGCGUGCGUGAAGAAGGCCUUCGGGUUGUAAAGCUCUUUUGUCAGGGAAGAAACGGUAGUAGCGAAUAACUAUUACUAAUGACGGUACCUGAAGAAUAAGCACCGGCUAACUACGUGCCAGCAGCCGCGGUAAUACGUAGGGUGCAAGCGUUAAUCGGAAUUACUGGGCGUAAAGCGUGCGCAGGCGGUUGUGUAAGUCAGAUGUGAAAUCCCCGGGCUCAACCUGGGAAUUGCAUUUGAGACUGCACGGCUAGAGUGUGUCAGAGGGGGGUAGAAUUCCACGUGUAGCAGUGAAAUGCGUAGAUAUGUGGAGGAAUACCGAUGGCGAAGGCAGCCCCCUGGGAUAACACUGACGCUCAUGCACGAAAGCGUGGGGAGCAAACAGGAUUAGAUACCCUGGUAGUCCCUGAGCGGGCUGGCAAGGCGCAU
RNAcentral lists this ribosomal RNA (472 nucleotides) under uncultured bacterium. Its description in RNAcentral is "bacterial SSU rRNA". It matches the Rfam family "Bacterial small subunit ribosomal RNA", at positions 355 to 825 of the family's 1533-position model. The record is from RNAcentral.